GACGAACGCUGGCGGCGUGCUUAACACAUGCAAGUCGAACGGAAAGGCCCUGCUUUUGUGGGGUGCUCGAGUGGCGAACGGGUGAGUAACACGUGAGUAAUCUGCCCUUGACUUUGGGAUAACUUCAGGAAACUGGGGCUAAUACCGGAUAGGAGCUCCUGCUGCAUGGUGGGGGUUGGAAAGUUUCGGCGGUUGGGGAUGGACUCGCGGCUUAUCAGCUUGUUGGUGGGGUAGUGGCUUACCAAGGCUUUGACGGGUAGCCGGCCUGAGAGGGUGACCGGCCACAUUGGGACUGAGAUACGGCCCAGACUCCUACGGGAGGCAGCAGUGGGGAAUAUUGAACAAUGGGCGGAAGCCUGAUGCAGCAACGCCGCGUGCGGGAUGACGGCCUUCGGGUUGUAAACCGCUUUCGCCUGUGACGAAGCGUGAGUGACGGUAAUGGGUAAAGAAGCACCGGCUAACUACGUG
This 468-nucleotide ribosomal RNA is filed under the name uncultured bacterium. Its description in RNAcentral is "partial 16S ribosomal RNA". It matches the Rfam family "Bacterial small subunit ribosomal RNA", at positions 28 to 507 of the family's 1533-position model. The record is from RNAcentral.